CCCUGCCCUGCCCUUCACAGCUGCAGAAGGACCCGGCCACAGCCUCCAUUGUUCCCCGUCGCUCUCAAAACUUUCCCGAAAGACCAGGCCAUCUGUCCACCUGCACACGUGUGAACUUAAGUCUUUCCUUUGUGAGGAGCCUCAGCUGAGGGAGGCAGGAAGCUGGUUUUUUCCAGGAGGCGGGCAGAGUUCACUGGCCUCCUAAGCUGCUCCAAGGUUGGAUCCCGGUUGGGGUCAGGCUGGGCACCCAGGCCGCUCACCACAGGCUCAGAGGUAUUUGGGGUGACUAUGCCAAAGCUUCUCUGAUGUCUGUCCUGAGGCCUGGGGAGGCGGGGGGCCCUGGGCGCAGGGACAGUGCCGGACACGCUGGUCUAGCCGCCAGGCUGGGGUCGGAGCGGCCUCCCACCCUCCUCCUCCAGGCGCAGAACCUGUUGGGGCAGGUAAGCGCAGGAGGUGGAGGCGGAGGAGUCUGAGGAGGCCGCCCGUGGGGAGAGGCCCUUGAGUGGCUGACCCGGAGAGGACACUCUGAGCGAUGGUGGCUGAUGGGCUCAGACCCGGGAAGGGUAGUCCUUCCUCUCUGGGGAGGUGGGCCCCCCGGGCCAAGCACGCCGGGUGUUGGAUUCAGAGCCAUCUUGGGCUGGCCAGGGCCGCUCGGGGUCCGGCAGGCACGAGCACUGGGCAGUGGGUGUCUUCUAGCCCACGGCGGGGGGGGGGGGGGGAGGGUGGGGAGUGCGCACGCAGCUCAGGGUCACCAACAGUAAGCGUUCCCGCCUUCCGCCUGGCGACAGGACCUUCUGGAAAGCUUGCAAAUCGGCCACGGAUGUGACAGUUCUUGAGGUACCUUAUUCCCCCAGAGCUGGGCGUGGGGAAGAAGCACUUGGGGGCCUGGGCUCAAGGGCACCCACAGCCCCGGUCAUGGGCUUCUGGAGUUUGCUCUUGAAGGGAAGGGCUUGGCUUUACCAGAGGCCACACUGGUGAUGGUCGGAGCUCGGCGCCAGGGCCAGCCUGGCCUGGAUUCAGACUCUUUCUCGCCCGCCUGUGUCUGAGGCGCCAACAAAGCCGGAAGCACCUUGGAGAAGGUGUAGGCCGGCCCCCUGCCUGACACCAUUACUCAGGGCAGGAAAGCGUUUCCAAAGGUUCUUUCCUAAAUGCAAAGUAGCAACGAUCACAGCACGCCAACACUCCGUUCUGGCAAAGUACGGCCCUCGCUACCUCGGCCGCGCACACCUAGCUCUGGACUUGCCGCGUGGCUCCCCGAGAGCAGCCUUUAUAGUCCAGAUCGCUGGCUUUUUUAGACGGUCUUCAAGUUUAGGAGGUGAUAACAUUGAUGUGACAUAAAGCUAACUUUCUCUGAGGCAUCAUAUAGGUUCCAUUGUUCUGGAUGAACAAAACUCGUAGGGCAGAGGAAAACGACGUUCUAAUGAAUCCAGUGGGGGCAUGUUAGGCCUUCUUAGGCCGAGCAUCUGGAAAAAUAGGGCGGUUUUGUUUUGCUUUUUUCUAGUAACCCAGAUGAGAUGCUUACGAGUCAGAGCGGCUGGCAGCAUGCCGAAUUAGCCGGAAUAAGUGCAGGUUUAUGAAAGUGCAAAGCAAAUGUAAAACGGGGACACAGUCUACCGUGAAUUUUCUGACAUUUUGGUAAUUUGCAAAUACCUCGUCCGCAAGACGGGUCGGUAAGAACGUCUUUGGUGAAUCUGAGAGGAGGUAAACCGCCCAGAAGUCACCCCCGCUCCCGGGGCAUCCGGUUUGUUCUCGGGUUCGGGCCAGCGUGGGCGCGGGGACAUGGCGGGGAAUGGCGGCCGGGAGGCCACUGGAGAGACGCCCUGCAUGUGGACAGGCCCGCUCGGCCGCCCCCACCCCGCCCCCACCCCGCGGCCUCUGGGCCCCGCUGGCCAGCGCGGUACACGGGGUUGGGUUUCAGCGCUUUGUUCUCCGUGCGGCCCUCAACGUUGAUUAAGGCCCGUCAGGCAGGUUAACCGGCAAGUUAGUUUUUCACGCUGGGAUCGCGUUCCCCGCCCACCCCACCCGUGCCUGUACAGGUGGGACCCGCCAAGGGCUGGGCAGGUGGGGCACUCGCUCUGCAAAGAGGAGCCUGGAGGGUGCUGCCCUGGGCCUCCCGACUCAUUCCUUGAUUUUCCCAAGCUAAGCCUGCUCAGAGUGGUGAUGAUUAACCAGACCCCACAACUGGGAACACAACGCUGGCUUCACUCCCUGCCAACAAGGGGCCGAGAAAGCACCAUUUAGUCGCUCUGAAACAGGGAAGGUUUAUUUCCACUUUUCGUAUCUGCCCGUAGGAACUGCCCCGGGGGGCAGGAUGGGCACAGGGUGGGCGCAGGAGAGUCGGGGAUCUUGACCUCACGCUGAGCUGCACUCAGAGGCCAAGGCCAGGUGCUGGUCUCUCCUUGUGGACUUACAGGUUCUGAGUUCAGGAAGAGUGUGGGAUUGUGUCCUGGAACUUAGGAGGGGGCGCUCUGCUGCCCACCGGCCUGCCCCGGCUCUGUCCACGUAUCUCUGUGUCCGUGCACCUCUUCACCUCUUAGGUGACAGUGUCAGGGCUGAUGAGCCGGUGGGUGGCAGACAGCUGGGGUGGCCCGUUCCCCUGGCUUGCCGCCAGGCCAGCUCUGGACCCGUGGGGUCUCCGGGGCCUCGGGUGCUCCUCGGCCAAGGACACUAGGGACACCGGGCUCUGGCUCCAGAGGCCACACAGUGGGAGGCCGGUCUGUGCACAGCGGGCUGGCUACAAGGGAGGGACACCGGGCCCCCAGCCCCCACCGCCUUCCCCUGUAGCCUGGCAGCUGAGAGCAGAGCUGAAAUUUAACUCAGCCCUGAAAGCACAGUUGAGACAGUUUCGCCUAGCUCAGAAAGAGGUAGAAUCGCAUCCCUAGAGCACACUGAUUUUACAGGGUCUGUGGGACAGACCUGGAAAGGUGAGGUGUGGAUCCGGAGCGGGGCAGGUGGUGACGGGGGCACAGGGCAAGAGGCUGACCGUGGGCUCCACCCUCUGAGCCUGGACACAGCCACCCGGAGGCUCCAGGCUCCUGUGAAGCCGCCUUCCCACGCAGAGGACAGGUUUCUCACCCGUCCCCCCAACGCUGGGCCUGUGUCACCGUCAGGUCCUCUGAGAAAUGCUGGCUGUUCCUGAGGACAAAUCUGGAGAACGAGGUGAACCUUGGCUAGGCAGGUGGACAGGCUUUGUUGUGGUCAGGCAGGUGGCCUGGGGAGAAUCAGCACGGGCCCCACACCCCGUCUCUACAGCCUCUGUGGGUGGAAGGUGCCGGAAAACUUGAGGAGCUGCUCUGGCCCGCUCGCCAGGUCCAGGUGUCAGCCGUCACAGAGAAGGGACAGGAGGUUGGAUGGGACCCCUCGGACUCCCCAAGGCAGGGGGCCAGGGUCCUCUCAGUUCCACGCAGGGCCCCAGGUGCAGACACAGAACUGUCCUCUUCCUCGACCCCACUCUGAACUCUGGAGACUGGACUGGCACGCACGGGCACGGGGUGGUGGUGGGGGUGCUCAUCCUGCGUUCUGUACUUGGGCGCAGGCUGGGCGGGGCUACCCCCUUGGUCCCUCCUCCAGGCCCAGCGCUGUCUCAGCCUCGGACCUCACGGCC
RNAcentral lists this long non-coding RNA (3604 nucleotides) under Lynx pardinus (Iberian lynx). The record is from RNAcentral. Lineage: Eukaryota; Metazoa; Chordata; Mammalia; Carnivora; Felidae.